CCUANGGGAGGCAGCAGUUAGGAAUAUUGCACAAUGCACGAAAGUCUGAUGCAGCGACGCCGCGUGAGGGAUGAAGGCUUUCGGGUCGUAAACCUCUUUUAUUAGGGAAGAUUAUGACGGUACCUAAUGAAUAAGCUCCGGCUAACUACGUGCCAGCAGCCGCGGUAAUACGUAGGGAGCAAGCGUUAUCCGGAAUUACUGGGCGUAAAGCGUCUGUAGGUGGUAUUUUAAGUCAGAUGUUAAAUCUCUGGGCUCAACCCAGAGGCNGCAUUUGAUACUGGGGUACUUGAGGCAAGUAGAGGUAAGCGGAAUUUGUAGUGUAGCAGUGAAAUGCGUAGAUAUUACAAGGAACACCAAUGGCGAAGGCAGCUUACUGGACUUGUUCUGACACUGAGAGACGAAAGCGUGGGGAGCGAAAGGGAUUAGAUACCCUGNUAGUC
This 440-nucleotide ribosomal RNA is filed under the name uncultured bacterium. Its description in RNAcentral is "bacterial SSU rRNA". It matches the Rfam family "Bacterial small subunit ribosomal RNA", at positions 338 to 795 of the family's 1533-position model. The record is from RNAcentral.